GUGCUCACUUCGGCAGCACAUACACUAAACCGUGCAGAGAUUAGCGUGGCCCCUGUGCAAGGAUGACUCGCAAGUUCGUGAAACGUUCUGUAUUUUU
Molecule: small nuclear RNA, 97 nt
Filed under: Tursiops truncatus (common bottlenose dolphin)
Lineage: Eukaryota; Metazoa; Chordata; Mammalia; Artiodactyla; Delphinidae
Source: RNAcentral